Mytilus californianus (California mussel) is the source of this 3343-nucleotide long non-coding RNA. RefSeq lists it as uncharacterized. The transcript is spliced from 2 exons. NCBI's taxonomy places the organism in Eukaryota, Metazoa, Mollusca, Bivalvia, Mytilida, Mytilidae. The record is from RefSeq and is a predicted model, not a curated record.
ACUGUUUUUAUACGACCGCAAAAAAAUUUUGUGGUCGUAUAUUGGUAUGACAUUGGCGUCGUCGUCGUCCGGCGUCGUCGUCCGAAUACAUAUUGGUUUUCGCACUCUAACUUUAGUUUAAGUGAAUGGAUCUUUUUGAAAUUUGACCAUAAGGUUAAAUACCACAAAAGGAAGGCUGGGAUUGAUUUUGGGGGUUAUGGUACCAACAGUUAAGGAAUUAGGGGCCAAAAAGGGGCCAAAAAUGAGCAUUUUCUAGUUUCCAGACAAUAACUGUGGAACGGUGUAUGGAUCUCUCUGAAAUUAUACUACAAGUUUCCAUACCACAAAGGGAUGGUUAGGAUUUGCUUUGGGGGGUUAUGGCUCAAACCGUUUAGGAAUUAGGGGCAAAAAAGGGGGAAAAACAAGGUUGUCCUGGUUAAUGGACAAAUACUUUAGUACAAAACAUAAUUUAAAGCAGUGUAAGGGAGAUAAAUCAAAUACAUCAUUGAAAUUAUCUCCCUUACACUGCUUUUAAAUUAUGUAUAAAGUAAUGGUUAAUGAACAAUAAAGAUAAUCUAAAACAGUGUAAGGGAGGUAAUCCAAAUACUACGUUUUGGUUACUUCCCUUACACUGCUUUUAAAUUAUGUUUAAAGAAAUGCAUAUUUAUAAAGGAAGACCAGUAAAAAUAUCUGCAAAUGUUUUCAUCUUUUUUUUUUACAAAAAAAUCCAUAUGAAAGAUUUGACACUAUAUUUUUAUUAAUUCUAUUAUAAAAUAGAUUAAGUUAGCACUGUGGUAAAUUUAAAUGGGUAAUUAUGGUUGCCAACUCCAUUGGAAAUUUGAAUUGAGAUUAUGACCAUAUCUUGAGGGAAAGAAUUUUUUUGGGGGAAAAAGGGGGGGGGGGAUAAAAAGAAAUUGUGGGGGGCCAAUUUUUUCUCAUUUCAGAUUUCAGAAAUUAAAAAGAAUUAUUCUUCAAAUAUUAUUUUUUUUUCAAAUUUCAAAUAUUGAAAAAUUUCAAGAAGUAAUCUUUAAUUGCACAGUAUGGCGCAUUAGAUUUGUAAAAUCUUUGAUCACAUUUAUUUAUUUGUUAUGCCGAAUCUAACAGUGUAUUUAGAUUUUUAAUUUUGGGUCCAGUUUUCAAAUUGGUCUACAUUAAGGUCCAAAGGGUCCAAAAUUAAACUUUUUUUGAUUUUAGCAAAAAUUGAAUAUAUGAGGUUCUUUGAUAUGCUGAAUCUAAACAUGUAUUUAGAUUUUUGAUUUUUGGCCCAGUUUUCAAGUUGGUCCAAAUUGGGGUCCAAAAUUAAACUUUGUUUGAUUACAACAAAAAUUGAAUAUAUGGGGUUCUUUGAUAUGCUGAAUCUAACCAUGUAUUUAGAUUUUUUAUUUGUGGACCCCGUUAUCUAAUUGGUUCAUAUUGAGGUCAAAAGGGUCCAAAAUUAAACUUUGUUUGAUUUCAUCUAAAAUUGAAUUAUUGGGGUUCUUUGAUAUUCCAAAUCUAACCGUGUAUUUAGAUUUUUAAUUUUAAGUCCCGUUUUUUAAAUUGGUCUACAUUAAGGUCCAAAGGGUCCAAAAUUAAACUUAGUUUGAUUUUAGCAAAAAUUGAAUUCUUGGGGUUCUUUGAUAUGCUGAAUCUAAACAUGUGUUUAGAUUUUUGAUUAUGGGCCCAGUUUUCAAGUUUGUCCAAGUUGGGGUCCAAAAUUAAACUUUGUUUGAUUUUAACAAAAAUUGAAUAUAUGGGGUUCUUUGAUAUGCUGAAUCUAACCAUGUAUUUUGAUUUUGGACAUUGGACCAUAAUAGGUAAAUUAAAAAAAUUCAAGUUCUUAGACCACAUUCUUUCUGUGUCAGAAACCUAUGCUGUGUCAAAUAUUUAAUAACAAUCAAAAUUCAGAGCUGUAUCAAGCUUGAAUGUUGUGUCCAUACUUGCCCCAACUGUUCAGGGUUCGACCUCUGCGGUCGUAUCAAGCUGCGCCCCAGCGAAGCAUUUUAUUCCUCCAUGGACAUUUAGGUUUUCUUUCAAUAAAUUUUAUUCAACUUCAUAAUUGAUUUGGUCUUCCAACGGUUUUAACUGAGCCCCAAUUAAUUAUUUUUUGAAAUGCAUGUCUGAUGUACUGAAUUGUAUAUGGUACUUUGUAUCAUUAAUGACUUUUCAUUCUUUUCCAUAUGAAAUCAUAACACUUUUUUUAUUAAGACUUUCUGUCAAGAAGGAAGCUGUAACGGGAAGUAUUAGACAGCAUUUUGGACUGUGUUCAUAAUCUUUAUUUAAGAUAGCCCAGAUAUCUUUUUAUAAAUUGUACUAAUUUUGAGGUAUGUAAUUUAGCAUGACUUUCUCACAUGGUCUUGGUCCCGUAAAGAGUUAAUGGACAGGCAACUUUAUCACUUUAUAUUAGAUCUGUAAAGAGUUAAUUAAUAACCAAUAAUAACCAAUUGUAUUGGCAACUUUAGCAAUUUGUGUUGGCUAUGUAAAAUGUUUAUGGACAAGCAUAUUUAGCAUAUUGUGUUGGCCCUGUAAAGAGUUAAUGGAUAGGCAACUUUGGCAAAUUGUGUUUGCCUUGUAAAGAGUUAUUGGAUAGGCAACUUUAAGUAGAUAAACGAUUGACAUGUUAUCUUAUGGUGUGCAGGAGCAAAUGCAGCUCAGAUUUAUACUUUUGUCUCUGAUUUUGGUUUGUUUGACAGAAUGGUAAAGAUACAAAGAGCAGUUACCCUUUUCGAGGAACUAACUAACUAAAAUAAAAGAUGGACAGAGUGAUAUUAUAAGUUUCCUUUUGUCUGGUUUCUGAAAAAAUAUGCAAUUGUUUUCAUUUUACCCCUACCACUUUCCUUGUAGCAAUAUGUGGAGGUAUUAUAAUUUAGCAUAUUCAUCAAUAUUUUGUCUGUCUAAAGGAUCAUAAUUUCUGAACUGAUCUUUGGCAAAUUUUUCUCCAUAGCUAGUUUUGCAUUGCAUUCUGUAUUUAUGCUUUCAUAGCAGGUAAGGUAUCUAUCCAUGAAAUAAUAAAAACAGCAAAUUCUUCUGCUUCUGCUUGAACAUUGUAACAUUAUGUAUAGUGUUGGACUGCAAGUGGUCAUUCUGAAAUUUAUCAAUAUGAAGAAAGAUAAGUUAUGCAGUAGUUGACCAUGAGAAGAAAUUUGAAGAAACUUUUAUGUUUAGCAUAAUGUUUUAACUAGCAAGAUCCAUGCCUGUCCAUAAAACUGUAAAUUCAGAAAUUAUUGAAUGCGUUUAUAAUUGCUAUUUUUGAAGAAUGGACAAAAAUGUGAGAUUAUAUAUUGUGACUUCAGGAAAAUCUGCAUACAGAUAUAUGUAUUAGAUAUCAGAAUGUGAGUUAUUAUUGUCUAGUCGCAUUAUUCCAUUAAUAAAAAAUUUCACAAUA